Long non-coding RNA from Pogona vitticeps (central bearded dragon), 1957 nucleotides. The record is from Ensembl. NCBI's taxonomy places the organism in Eukaryota, Metazoa, Chordata, Lepidosauria, Squamata, Agamidae.
AUGGGGAGCCCCUCAGGCCCCUACUCCCUCUGUGCCCCCAGAAAAGACGCCAGGGAGGGAAUCUUUACCCCAGUUGUGGGGCAGAAGGUGAGAAAGAGCAAAAAACUAGUCCUUUGGGUGCAAGACCUCCCCCCCACAGCCCCCAUUGAGGCAUCUUCACACACCCAAAUUGGCCUCUUCCAUACCAGACUUUCUUCUCCCCCCUUCCCUGUCCUUGUAUAUAUGGAGCCGACUCUCCCUCCAGCACUUGUGGGUCAGAAAUGCUGUCACAGACAGCCCCUCUGCAGCCACCCCCAAAGGGCCUUCGGGGUGUGUGUGUCUCCAUCCCCAUUUGCACUCUUGGGAGGGUCUGAUCUUCUCACCCCCAUCUUGGCUGCAAUUUCUGGCAACCCUGAAAGAGGAAAAGCAGACCUCUCUCUUCUGCUCCACUGCCUCAUGAAGAUAGUAUUUGGGGUGUGGGUGUGCCUGAGGUUUGGGGGAAUCCUUGGGGGGAAGGGAGAGCUCUUUGCCCUCUUCUUGCUCAGUUUGGGGAGGAUCCAGAGAACAAGGAGGAUCCCCCCCUGCUCUCCCCUCCCCACCCGCUUCCACAUAGAUGAGGGGCAGCAAUCUUACAAGAGCCUUGAUCCCCCUUUUUCCUCCAUUAACUCAGGACCACCUACUUGGAGGAAGGAAAACCCACACCUUCUGGAGCUGCUGCUUGGAAAAGGGGCUCCAUCUUGCCCAAGACGAGAAGGGCAGAGGGUUUGGGGGAAAGUGGGGAGGAGCACAGACACACAUCAAGGCAUCCAUAUGAAUGGCAGAGAAAAUGUGAAAUGUCAUAGAAAACCUCCCCCUAUGACAGUGUUUCCCAAAGUGUGCACCAUGGUGCUAUGGGACACCAGGAAGUCCACUUGGGGUCACCACUGCAUCCUCUGGUCCCUCCCUCUCUCUUCUCCCCACUCCCCACUCAUGUUUUAGGAUACAAAAUGUCCUAAAACAGAAUUUGCACAUUCUCUGUUGCCUGGGGUCCCUGGGGCCCAGGACUGGGUGGUCCUGCCUUCCUGUUUGCAAGUGGAGAAUUUCCUGCCCACCCCCAGCCCCGCAAAAAGGGCAGCUUCUCCGGAUUUUCCUCUCCAGCAGCUGCUUCUCUGGGAGAAGUCAGGCUACAAUACAGUGGAGUCUCGACUUACGAACGGCUCCACUUACAUACUUUUCGACCUCCGUACUUUUCCGGCCGCAAAGUUUCUCUUCGACUUGCAGCCGGGGAAUCAACCUAGAGACUGAAAAGGGAAAAAAAAGCAGGGAGGUGGCGAAAUUGGAAAAUUUGAACUGCUUUCAGUUGUCCGUUGGCCAAGGAAGAGAGUACCGUAGUCUGCUUCCUUGCUUGCCCAGCAGUUAGAGAGAGUCUUCAACGAGUCUGCCUGGUGCUGCCUGGUACCGGGCUGUUUUUUUUUUCCUGGGAGUGUGUGUUAAUUUUGAUUUUUUGAUUUUUGACUGUCUUUUUUUAAGCAGAAAGGCUGCCUGUUCUGGGUGAGUACUAUUCUGUGCUGUACAUUUACUGGGUUUUUUGCAGCUUGGUUGGGAGGGGUUAGGGCUAGGUGGGGGGUUACAGUAUGUUUCCGUGCUCUGAUGGGUCUUGCAGUGUAGAUUUAAAAUGUGAAAAGUAGACUGUAAUAUUAAAUUGAAAUUAAAUGUGAAAAUUAGACUGUACAGUGAUUUUUAAAUGUUAAAUUUACUGUACUUUAUUUUUGCAUUCUGUGCCUUCUAGGGUUUGUGUAUGAAACCUCUCUUGUUUUAAAAUGUGUGGGUUUUAAAUGUACUAUACAGAAAAUUUUCUGUGAGGGCGGAUGGCAUGGUGUAAAAUGGAGUUUUUUUUCUUUAAAUCAGAAAAUUUUCUGUGAGGGUCUGUGCUGGAUGGCAUGCUGUAAAAGGGGCCUGUGGUGGUUGUAGAUGCAGGCAGCCGGGCUUUAGAAUGGCU